Molecule: ribosomal RNA, 497 nt
Filed under: uncultured bacterium
Lineage: Bacteria
Description: partial 16S ribosomal RNA
Rfam family: Bacterial small subunit ribosomal RNA
Source: RNAcentral
GAUGAACGCUGGCGGCGUGCCUAAUACAUGCAAGUCGAGCGAACGGACGAGAAGCGUGCGUCUCUGCUGUUAGCGGCGGACGGGUGAGUAACACGUGGAUAACCUACCUAUAAGACUGGGAUAACUUCGGGAAACCGGAGCUAAUACCACCUCAUAUUUUGAACGGCAUGGUUCAAAAGUGAAUGACGGUCUUGCUGUCACUUUUAGAUGGAUCCGCGCUGCAUUAGCUAGUUGGUAAGGUAACGGCUUACCAAGGCAACGAUGCAUAGCCGACCUGAGAGGGUGAUCGGCCACACUGGAACUGAGACACGGUCCUGACUCCUACGGGAGGCAGCAGUAGGGAAUCUUCCGCAAUGGGCGAAAGCCUGACGGAGCAACGCCGCGUGAGUGAUGAAGGUCUUCGGAUCGUAAAACUCUGUUAUUAGGGAAGAACAUAUGUGUAAGUAACUGUGCAUAUCUUGACGGUACCUAAUCAGAAAGCCACGGCUAACUACGUG